Transfer RNA from Chlorella variabilis, 73 nucleotides. It matches the Rfam family "tRNA". From Rfam's summary of the family: Transfer RNA (tRNA) molecules are approximately 80 nucleotides in length. Their secondary structure includes four short double-helical elements and three loops (D, anti-codon, and T loops). NCBI's taxonomy places the organism in Eukaryota, Viridiplantae, Chlorophyta, Trebouxiophyceae, Chlorellales, Chlorellaceae. The record is from Rfam.
GGGGCUGUAGCUCAGUGGUAUGAGCGACCGCUUCGCAUGCGGUAGGUCCCGAGUUCGAUCCUUGGCAGCUCCA